This 229-nucleotide ribosomal RNA is filed under the name uncultured bacterium. RNAcentral's name for it is "partial 16S ribosomal RNA". It matches the Rfam family "Bacterial small subunit ribosomal RNA", at positions 568 to 796 of the family's 1533-position model. The record is from RNAcentral.
AGUGUAGGCGGCCAUUUAAGUCGGAUGUGAAAUCCCCGGGCUCAACCUGGGAAUUGCAUUCGAAACUGAAUGGCUAGAGUUUGGUAGAGGUAAGUGGAAUUCCAGGUGUAGCGGUGAAAUGCGUAGAUAUCUGGAGGAACAUCAGUGGCGAAGGCGGCUUACUGGACCAAAACUGACGCUGAGGCUCGAAAGCGUGGGGAGCAAACAGGAUUAGAUACCCUGGUAGUCC